This 82-nucleotide transfer RNA is filed under the name Methylobacterium isbiliense. RNAcentral's name for it is "tRNA-Pro". The record is from RNAcentral. Lineage: Bacteria; Pseudomonadati; Pseudomonadota; Alphaproteobacteria; Hyphomicrobiales; Methylobacteriaceae.
UCGCGUCGCUGGCCGGCGCCUUCGUGUGGUCGGGCUACUCGGUGCUGUCGCGGCGCGUGGGCGCGGUGCCCACCGACGCGGU